This 227-nucleotide long non-coding RNA is filed under the name Ananas comosus (pineapple). RNAcentral's name for it is "long non-coding RNA (ACOM_LNC014898)". The record is from RNAcentral. Lineage: Eukaryota; Viridiplantae; Streptophyta; Magnoliopsida; Poales; Bromeliaceae.
AUCACCUUAAAUUCGGUUCAUAGCCUAACACAAGUAAAUAAAAAAUAAUCUGAAAAGAAGACAGUACAUAUACAUACGUCAUUAGAUAAGUGACUGAACUACUAGUCUUUCAAGAGUUUUUAAUACAUAAAUACUCUGUGUGUGCUCUCAUCAUUAUUUAAAUCAACUAAUAAGUAUCACUGUAUUAUUUUUUGGAAGCUGAAUUAUAUGUCGUAUCAUAUUUCUUU